Long non-coding RNA from Homo sapiens (human), 4624 nucleotides. Ensembl annotates it as SCAMP1 antisense RNA 1. Its record names the gene SCAMP1-AS1. Lineage: Eukaryota; Metazoa; Chordata; Mammalia; Primates; Hominidae. The record is from Ensembl.
GGGGCGAAGGAAACGGGAACUGAAAGCGAUGAAAAGCGUUCCACACGCCACGAGCCCGCGGGAUCCUCGGAGAGUAUGGAACCCUUCCCCUCCGCUCUCAGCCGGAGGCCAGCUGCGUCCAGCCGGGCUCGGUCUUCUGAACACCGAUUUCAAAUCAGGUCCUCGGGGCCCAGCGUCACUUAGGGAAGUGGUGGCAUUUUGUGGUUGCUGCUAAAUCACGGAGAGCAGCCUUGGCGCUGCCGGUCCCAACUUGAUCCAAGGAGCCUUGAGAAGGAGAUGAGAUUCAGUACCAGGGGCCGGCCGUGGCUCCCAUCCUCCGGAAUCUGCAAAAUGGCUACUUCUUCAGAAAUAAUGGGGAGAGGGAUGGCAAGAGGCCAGAGAUCAAGGCCCUCGAGUAUUAACUUGAGCAUUUGGGCACAAAAUAGACACUUUUGGAUUUUCCCGUCUUUUCCAACACCAAGGAUGAGAUUAUCAAAAGAUGUGUUAAAUUAAUUUGUACCGGCCGGGCGCGGUGGCUUACGCCUGUAAUCCCAACACUUUGGGAGGCCGAGGCGGGCGAAUCACAAGGUCAUGAGUUCGAAACCAGCCUGGCCAAUAUGGUGAAACCCCCGUCUCUACUAAAAAUACAGAAAUUAGCCGGGAGUGGUGGCGUACGCCUGUAGUCCCAGCUACUCUGGAGGCUAAGGCAGGAGAAUCGCUUGAAUCCGGGAGGUGGAGGUCGCAGUGAGCCGAGACCGGGCCACUGCACUCCAGCCUGGGAGACAGAGCGAGACUCUGUCUCAAGAAAAAAAAAAAAUCAAUUUGUACCAUUCCUUGCCCCACCCUGCCGAACUUAUUGAAAGAGCAUCGCUUUCCUCACUUUUCUCCUCUAACAGAAAAGCACUUAGAUGAAGCUACAGGGAGCCAGAAUUCUUUUGACUUGGUGGGUACCGGAGGAUUGGAAGAAUCUAGAUUGAGUAUUCCUUGGCCUUUGGGGAGCUUGCUCUAUGCAAAGUCACCCAGGAAAUGAUACUCCCCCCACUGUGAAACACUAGCUAGAGAUGAUAGACAAAAAGCACAUUUGUUGUAAUCUCCCUUUGACGGGAUUCAGGUUGGGAUAGAUGUCGAAGCAGCUGCUUCUAGGUAGUCAACGAAGAUGUCAACUAGUAAAUGACAACAGACAAGGAUGAGCACAGCAGAGCUGUACGAUUCUAGAUAUCAAAAAGAGCAAGCAGUCUGUUGUACUCACCAUCGCAUCCUCAGCAGCUGCCCAGUGCCCGGUUUUAACUUAGUGCUCAGUGUAUGUGUCAGGUUUGAAUCCCAAUUCUGAUACUACCUGUGCUACUCUCUUCACCUCUCUGAGUCUGUAAAGGAUUAUUUAAGAAUUAAAUGAAACAACAUACAGAAAAGUGUCCUGCAUGUAUAUUUAGUGCCUAACAAAUAUUGGUUGAACGUCGAAAGUGGCAAGGAGGCUCAGUAUGUUCUUAUACGCUUUGCCUCCCUUCUCCUGAGCAAGCAUGUCCUUGCCCAGCUCAUCUGCUUCUCUCACCACUUUUGCCCUCACUCCCUCCACCUGUCCUCCAAAUGACUCAAAAUAAUCUGCACUAUUUAUUAUGCAUCUACUAUGUUCCAAGACAAUGAGGGUCAGCUGAGCCCGCAUUGCAGGAUGGAAAUUUCCAACUAUGUUCUGUUUACAGCUAAUGAUAUUUGCACCUAAUGCAAAGGUUUACAGACUUUACUGUUAUAGAAUCAUUUGGAAUACCUGUUGAAGAUGCAGACACCCACCUUACCAUACCUCCUAUUGCUAAGAUUACGCUUGAAAGGAUCUGAGGUAGGGGCUCUGGAUCUGCAUUUUUUAUUUUUUACAUCUCUAUACAUUAUUUUACAUAAAUGUAUAAAUGGAGUCAUGACAUACAUAUUGAAUUUUUCACUUACAAAAAUUUUUAUUCCGUGUAUUCCCUCUUCUCUUCCCCUACAUUAACAACCUAGUACAUUUCUUUAAAUAUUCUUGUAAUAGUGUAUAUCUGCACUUACAUAAAAUAACAUGUAAUUGUAUAAAAACAAUACAUAUUCAUGCAGAUAUGCAUACACUCUAAUACUGAGCUUUGGCAUUGUCUUGAAAAAGUUAGAUCAUAUGUAUAUUUUUCUGCAGCUGUUUUUCUCAAUACGUAUGGCAGAAUUUCUCAGCAAGAUGUGCAUUGUCAGAGAGACAGUCUUAAGGUUUCUUCCCCUAGUAUGCCACAUAAAUAUUAUCACUUUUUAUGUGUAGCAUGCCUAUAGAGUGAAAAGGGAAGCAUGGCCUAAUGGAAACCAUAUAUCUGAUUCAUUAUUCUUAACAACUGCAAAAAUCAGCAUAUGUAAAGGAUCUCAGGUGAUUUUUUUUUUUUUUUUUUUUGAGACCGAGUCUUACUCUGUCACCCAGGCUGGAGUGCAGUGGCACAAUCGUGGCUCACUACAACCUCCACCUCCCUUGUUUAAGCAAUUCUCCUGCCUCAGCCUCCCGAGUAGCUGGGAUUACAGGCAUGCACCACCACACCCGGCUAAUUUUUGUAUUUUUAGUAGAGAUAGGGUUUCACUUUGUUUGCCAGGCUGGUCUCGAACUCCUGACCUCAAAUGAUCCAGGCCACCUCUGCCUCCCAAAGUGCUGGGAUUACAGGCAUGAGCCACCAUGCUUGGCCAACCUGAGAUGACUUUGGUGGUGGCUGAUCACACUUUUGGGAACACUGAUAUGAGGACAUGCAGACAUAUGGUCCAUGGGUGAGGGUCUUAAUCUGUUUGUGUUGCUAUAAAGGAAUACGGGAGGCUGGAUAAUGUAUGAAGAAAAGAGGAUUAUUUGACUCAUGGUUCUGCAGGCUGUCAGCUUCAGAUGAGGGCCUUAUGCUGCUUCCACUCAUGCAGAAGGCAAAGGGGAGACUUCGUGCAGAGAUCACAUGGCUACAGUGCAAGAUGGGGCAUCAGGGGAGAGAAAGGGAGAAGCUGACUCUCGGUUCUUUUGAACAACCUGUUCUCAAGGAUGAGAACUCACUCUCAGGAGAAUAGCACCAAGCCAUUUGUGAGGAAUUCAUCCAUAUGGCCCAAACACCUCCCACCAGGCCCCAACUCCAGCACUGGGACUCAUAUUUCAACAUGACACUUUGCAGGUCCAAAGCCAUACCCAAACCAUAGCAGGGAGCUUAUUAAUUCAUUAGCCUCCAUGAAAUUUAGAAUUAUAGAAUGUGCGAGCUGAGAAGGAACCUCAGCCUCUCUCAUGAUUGAAGAAACUGGAGUUUGGACAGGUUAAGUAAUUUGUCUCAGACACCAAGGAAGUGAAUGGGGAAACAGGGAACAGAACUCAGGUCUCUUGACUAAUGUUUUAGACAUUAAAUAAAUAGGUUAUUAAAUGAAUAGAAUUAUUCUAUAUGAAUAAUUUCAUAUAGAAGGAAGAAAUGCUAUGUGCAAGGUAGAGAGAAAUUAUACAAGAAGCCUCAUUUGGUGCAGGAGUUCAUUUUACGGAAGGUACCUCCUAAAUUUGGUAGAACAAAGACUCAAAACCAGUCUAUGCCCUCUCUCCUGCAAACCAACCGUUUGAUCUUGAACAUAUCAACUCACCUUUCUAACCAGAGUUUCUACUCUAGUACAUCAUUCAAGUAUUUCUUGAGCAACUAAAACAGUGAUGUUGUGGAUAAAGCAGUAAACCAGGUAUAAAGCGUAAGGCCUGCUCCAGAAAACUUCCUAAAAGGCCUAGAACAUGGCUAAAGGAUAUCUCAGAUCCUUUGGACAGUUCUAACGUUCUAUUAAUCUGGGACAGUGGCUCACUCCUCCCUAACCCUGUUUCUUUUCCCCUCAGAGUGUGCCUCCCAUCAUCAUCAUGCUGCUUCUCCUCAGACUGACACUUUUAAUUGGUGAACCUAUUGAGCAGGGUCUAGAGUCUGAAUUCCUUGUUUUCUAAACUGCCUAGCUUAUAGCUGGGGAAUGCUAGGAAAAUGCCAAGUUAGAUAUUUACGUUUCUUGCCUCAAAAGGUUCACUGGAUUCUGGGUUCACUGAUGGAUUAGAACUGAAAUCCAUCAUCUCUUACAGUGGGUCUAGUCUCCAGAUUUGCUGCUGUGUCUGCUGAUACCCUCGACGCCCCAGCACCAGCCUAUCUGGCUCCCUAUUCUGCCACUGGCUACAUUUUCAGGCAAUAACAGAGGAGGUGCAGGCAUUGUGUGGUAGGCCAAAUAAUCCUCCCCUCCCCCAAAGAUGUCCAUGCUAUAAUCCCUAGAAUCUGUAAAUAUGUUACCUUACAUGGCAAAAGAGACUUUGCAGGUGUAAUUAAGGUUAAGAACCUUGAGAGGAGGGGAUUAUCCUGGAUUAUUCAAGUAGGCCCAAUGUAAUCACGAGUCCUUGAAAGUGGAAGAGGAAAGCAGAAGAGUUGCUGACUUUGAUGAUUGAGGAAGGGGUUCUUAAACUAGGGCAUGUGAGUGGCUUCUGAAGCUGGAAAGAACCCUCAGCUGACAGCCACCAAGGAAACAGAGAUUUCAGUCUUACAGACUCAAGGAACUACAUUCUACCAAUGAUCAAUGUACAAGGAAAUAGAUUUUCCCUCGAGCCUCCAGAAAGGAACCUAGCCUUGCUGACACUUUGAUUUUAGACUGGUGAAAUUCAUGCUGAACUUAUGACCUACAG